RNAcentral lists this ribosomal RNA (436 nucleotides) under uncultured bacterium. RNAcentral describes it as "partial 16S ribosomal RNA". It matches the Rfam family "Bacterial small subunit ribosomal RNA", at positions 29 to 507 of the family's 1533-position model. The record is from RNAcentral.
AGCGAACGCUGGCGGCAGGCUUAACACAUGCAAGUCGAGCGGGCAUCCUUGUGGUGUCAGCGGCAGACGGGUGAGUAACGCGUGGGAACGUGCCCUUCGGUUCGGAAUAACUCAGGGAAACUUGAGCUAAUACCGGAUACGCCCUUUUGGGGAAAGGUUUACUGCCGAAGGAUCGGCCCGCGUCUGAUUAGCUAGUUGGUGAGGUUACGGCUCACCAAGGCGACGAUCAGUAGCUGGUCUGAGAGGAUGAUCAGCCACACUGGGACUGAGACACGGCCCAGACUCCUACGGGAAGCAGCAGUGGGGAAUAUUGGACAAUGGGGGCAACCCUGAUCCAGCCAUGCCGCGUGAGUGAUAACAGCCUUAGGGUUGUAAAGCUCUUUUCUCCGGGACGAUAAUGACGGUACCGGAGGAAUAAGCCCCGGCUAACUUCGUG